This 589-nucleotide ribosomal RNA is filed under the name beta proteobacterium WCIR9. RNAcentral describes it as "bacterial SSU rRNA". It matches the Rfam family "Bacterial small subunit ribosomal RNA", at positions 47 to 632 of the family's 1533-position model. Lineage: Bacteria; Pseudomonadati; Pseudomonadota; Betaproteobacteria. The record is from RNAcentral.
CCUUAACACAUGCCAAGUCGAAACGGUAGAGGGGCAACCCUUGAAGAAGUGGCGAACGGGUGAGUAAUAUAUCGGAACGUGCCCAGUCGUGGGGGAUAACGUAAAGAAAUUUACGCUAAUACCGCAUACGAUCUAAGGAUGAAAGCGGGGGAUCGCAAGACCUCGCGCGAUUGGAGCGGCUGAUAUCAGAUUAGGUUGUUGGUGAGGUAAAAGCUCACCAAGCCGACGAUCUGUAGCUGGUUUGAGAGAACGACCAGCCACACUGGGACUGAGACACGGCCCAGACUCCUACGGGAGGCAGCAGUGGGGAAUUUUGGACAAUGGGCGCAAGCCUGAUCCAGCAAUGCCGCGUGCAGGAAGAAGGCCUUCGGGUUGUAAACUGCUUUUGUACGGAGCGAAACGGCUCUUUCUAAUAAAGAGGGCUAAUGACGGUACCGUAAGAAUAANCACCGGCUAACUACGUGCCAGCAGCCGCGGUAAUACGUAGGGUGCGAGCGUUAAUCGGAAUUACUGGGCGUAAAGCGUGCGCAGGCGGUUCUAUAAGACAGAUGUGAAAUCCCCGGGCUCAACCUGGGAAUGGCAUUUGUGA